GCUGUGGGCUGGUGUUGCAGUGUGUUGUUAAACAGCUGCCACGCGCUACCCAGAGGCGCUUGUGCUCCGGCAGUGGGUGGGUUUGGCACGCUCAAGGAUUCUGAGAGAGCAGCAACAAGGGCACUGGCUCAGGCUGCUGCUUGCCUCCCCAGCUCCCCAGCAUGGCUAAGGCACUGCUGGCUCUCUCUGCUCUUUCUCACACAGCUGAAAUCUGGACAACACCUUCCCUUUUUCUGAUCUUCCAUCCCAGCCACAGCCAGGGAUGUGGAGCAGCUGAGGAGUCCAGCGCAGCCAAACACGCCUUGUUUGGGGCUUGGGGCAGCACCACGUGCACCGUGUCCUGUCCAGUUUUGACCUCUCAGAAAAUGCUGCUGUGCCACGGGCCCCCAAGGACAGCUGGGGUUGAUAGCAAUAAAAAAGAAAAUCCCCUGUCAAGCUG
Molecule: long non-coding RNA, 439 nt
Filed under: Serinus canaria (Common canary)
Lineage: Eukaryota; Metazoa; Chordata; Aves; Passeriformes; Fringillidae
Description: lncRNA (ENSSCAG00000012128.1)
Source: RNAcentral